UUGUUUAUCAUGCGCUUGACAAUGUGUGUUUCUUUGUUUUAAUCCUGACCAUUGACUUUGAUUAAUCAAUGGCUCUUGUUUACUAUCCUUAACUUAUUCUCUCAUCAGAUCAAAAAAUCAGAAUAUAAAAAAAAAUAAAAUAAGAAAAAGUUUAUGAUAAUAAACUUGAGCGCUUGAUUAAUCGAAUUCAAUGUCCAAGAUUAAAAGAAAUAGACACACACUGUUAAU
RNAcentral lists this long non-coding RNA (228 nucleotides) under Lathyrus oleraceus (garden pea). RNAcentral's name for it is "Pisum sativum (pea) long non-coding RNA (PSAT_LNC012696)". The record is from RNAcentral. Lineage: Eukaryota; Viridiplantae; Streptophyta; Magnoliopsida; Fabales; Fabaceae.